CCUACGGGGGGCUGCAGUGGGGAAUAUUGGGCAAUGGGCGCAAGCCUGACCCAGCAACGCCGCGUGAAGGAAGAAGGCUUUCGGGUUGGAAACUUCUUUUAACAGGGACGAAGCAAGUGACGGUAGCGGAUGAAUAAGCAAGGGCUAACUACGAGCCAGCAGCCGCGGUAAUACGUAGGUGGCAAGCGUUAACCGGAUUUACUGGGUGUAAAGGGCGGGUAGGCGGGAGUGCAAGUCAGAUGUGAAAACCCUGGGCUCAACCCAUAGCCUGCAUUUGAAACUGUACUUCUUGAGUGCUGGAGCGGCUAUCGGAAUUCCGUGUGUAGCGGUGACAUGCGUAGAUAUCCGGAGGAACACCAGUGGCGAAGGCGGAUUGCUGGACAGUAACUGACGCUGUGGCUCGACAGCGUGGGUAGCAAACAGGAUUAGAUACCCUUGUAGUC
Molecule: ribosomal RNA, 443 nt
Filed under: uncultured bacterium
Lineage: Bacteria
Description: partial 16S ribosomal RNA
Rfam family: Bacterial small subunit ribosomal RNA
Source: RNAcentral